This 497-nucleotide ribosomal RNA is filed under the name uncultured bacterium. RNAcentral's name for it is "partial 16S ribosomal RNA". It matches the Rfam family "Bacterial small subunit ribosomal RNA", at positions 28 to 507 of the family's 1533-position model. The record is from RNAcentral.
GACGAACGCUGGCGGCGUGCCUAAUACAUGCAAGUUGAGCGAUGAAGAUUGGUGCUUGCACCCAUUUGAAGAGCAGCGAACGGGUGAGUAACGCGUGGGGAAUCUGCCUUUGAGCGGGGGACAACAUUUGGAAACGAAUGCUAAUACCGCAUAACAACUUUAAACAUAAGUUUUAAGUUUGAAAGAUGCAAUUGCAUCACUCAAAGAUGAUCCCGCGUUGUAUUAGCUAGUUGGUGAGGUAAAGGCUCACCAAGGCGAUGAUACAUAGCCGACCUGAGAGGGUGAUCGGCCACAGUGGGACUGAGACACGGCCCAAACUCCUACGGGAGGCAGCAGUAGGGAAUCUUCGGCAAUGGACGAAAGUCUGACCGAGCAACGCCGCGUGAGUGAAGAAGGGUUUCGGAUCGUAAAACUCUGUUGGUAGAGAAGAACGUUGGUGAGAGUGGAAAGCUCAUCAAGUGACGGUAACUACCCAGAAAGGGACGGCUAACUACGUG